CAGCCGUCGUUGAUUUCGACACCUCCUCGCCAAGUGCCAUCGUCCCUGUCGUGUAAACCCUAGACAGUUCAUAUCUGGGGGAGUUCUGAGGAUUGGAAGUAUGCAUGUAGACAUAUAUUGAAAUAUCACUCUGCAGAGGUGCGAGCUGUCACUGUCCAUGCAACGAAUAAAUACUUUGUGUCUGCAUCGCUUGACAGUUCGUGGUGCUUCUAUGAUAUGUCCUCCGGUUUAUGCUUUGCCCAGGUUCGCAAGAAGAUGGGUUUGUUCUUGUUGAUGUUUCAUCUUCAAGGUAUCAUGG
Long non-coding RNA from Brassica oleracea var. oleracea, 298 nucleotides. RefSeq lists it as uncharacterized. NCBI's taxonomy places the organism in Eukaryota, Viridiplantae, Streptophyta, Magnoliopsida, Brassicales, Brassicaceae. The record is from RefSeq and is a predicted model, not a curated record. The transcript is spliced from 3 exons.